UGAGCACAGCCAUCAGAGGGAAGGUCUGGGGUGACUCAGCUGGAAUUCCUCUGAGGAGGUUUAUCACUGGUGGGCCAGUGACAACUGCAGCUACCUCCUGUUGGAUUGUUAACAACAGAAAAUAGAAGAGCAGGAAAAAGACAAGACAAGAGGUGGGAAGGAUUGGAUAAAAUCUCUCCUGGCCUCGUGCAGGCUCUGGCAAGGGGCAGCUCUCUGCACCUGCACACCCAGCUCGCAGCACAGGAGUCACGGGGAGAGCAGAGCAGAGCUUCCUGCUGAUCAUCUCCAGCGUGCCAGGGGAUGUGGGAGCGUCAUUCAAAUUCGGAAGGUUGAUGAGUGGAACAGAGAAGGAAACACCACGCAGUCCAGCACUGCACGCUCAGCUUUAGGAGCAGCUGCAGCUCAAAUGGCCUGAAUUUGCUGUAUAACCUUCAUCUUGCUGGGAAAAAGCCAUUUCCAAAGCCAUCCACCUUGUGCCAGC
Vidua macroura (Pin-tailed whydah) is the source of this 481-nucleotide long non-coding RNA. RefSeq lists it as uncharacterized. The transcript has 3 exons. The record is from RefSeq and is a predicted model, not a curated record. Lineage: Eukaryota; Metazoa; Chordata; Aves; Passeriformes; Viduidae.